RNAcentral lists this ribosomal RNA (253 nucleotides) under uncultured bacterium. RNAcentral describes it as "partial 16S ribosomal RNA". It matches the Rfam family "Bacterial small subunit ribosomal RNA", at positions 524 to 776 of the family's 1533-position model. The record is from RNAcentral.
UACGUAGGGGGCUAGCGUUGUCCGGAAUCAUUGGGCGUAAAGAGCGUGUAGGCGGCCCGGUAAGUCCGCUGUGAAAGUCGGGGGCUCAACCCUCGAAUGCCGGUGGAUACUGUCGGGCUAGAGUGCGGAAGAGGCGAGUGGAAUUCCUGGUGUAGCGGUGAAAUGCGCAGAUAUCAGGAAGAACACCCGUGGCGAAGGCGGCUCUCUGGGACGUGACUGACGCUGAGACGCGAAAGCGUGGGGAGCGAACAGG